This 472-nucleotide long non-coding RNA is filed under the name Ananas comosus (pineapple). Its description in RNAcentral is "long non-coding RNA (ACOM_LNC023846)". Lineage: Eukaryota; Viridiplantae; Streptophyta; Magnoliopsida; Poales; Bromeliaceae. The record is from RNAcentral.
UAUAGUGAACAAAUCAAUUGAAAAAAUUAACGGCAUGUUUGGUUCACUUAUUUUAGACUAUGGAAUCGGAAUGUAAUUUAUUGAUUUCGAUAGUUGUCAUUUAUUUUAUAGGAAUCAGAUUUCGAUUCCCAUUCCACUCCGGAAUAGGAAUGGUCAAAUCCAUUUAUGAUCCAAUCCGACUUUGAAUUCCGGAUUGACUCAUUCCAAAGUACACUAUUCAAAAUCCUUUUUCACCAACAAUCUCCUCUCUCUUCAUCGCUUUUUUCUUUCUUAAUCAAAACCCUCUCUCAAAAAUUUUAAAUUUUCAUUCCAAUAAUGAACCAAAUAUUUUUGGCUGAUUCGUCAUUUUAUUUUCUAUUCCAAAACAAUUCAAUUCUAUUUUUCAUUUCUAUUCUAAUCAUGAACCAAACAUGCCCUAACUGCUAAUAGCUAAUCAAGCCUUAAAAUUCAAUUAAAAUAAAUUGACUUAAUU